RNAcentral lists this small RNA (95 nucleotides) under Nonlabens sp. Hel1_33_55. RNAcentral's name for it is "Flavo-1 RNA". It matches the Rfam family "Flavo-1 RNA". The record is from RNAcentral. Lineage: Bacteria; Pseudomonadati; Bacteroidota; Flavobacteriia; Flavobacteriales; Flavobacteriaceae.
AUGCGACAGCGAUUGUAGCGGCAUCCUUUUAUGUAGAAUCGUGAGCUGUGGCGAUCGAUUUAACAAAAAAGAUAUAGCGUAAAGCGCGGUUCCAG